RNAcentral lists this ribosomal RNA (253 nucleotides) under uncultured bacterium. Its description in RNAcentral is "partial 16S ribosomal RNA". It matches the Rfam family "Bacterial small subunit ribosomal RNA", at positions 524 to 776 of the family's 1533-position model. The record is from RNAcentral.
GACGAACCGUGCGAACGUUGUUCGGAAUCACUGGGCUUAAAGGGCGCGUAGGCGGACCGGCGAGUCAGGGGUGAAAGCCCGCGGCCCAACCGCGGAAGUGCCCCUGAUACCGCCGGCCUUGAGGGGGAUAGGGGCGUGCGGAACUUCGGGUGGAGCGGUGAAAUGCGUAGAUAUCCGAAGGAACACCGGUGGCGAAGGCGGCACGCUGGGUCACUACUGACGCUGAGGCGCGAAAGCGUGGGGAGCAAACAGG